GCGGAAGAUGAUAAUAUUUUUAACUCGUAACACCUGCCGGUGUGCUGAAGAUUAAAAACACGCAACAACAAACACUCUAAUUUUUUGCUGACG
This 93-nucleotide small nucleolar RNA is filed under the name Aspergillus versicolor CBS 583.65. Its description in RNAcentral is "A. fimigatus snoRNA Afu_298". It matches the Rfam family "A. fimigatus snoRNA Afu_298". The record is from Rfam by way of RNAcentral. Lineage: Eukaryota; Fungi; Ascomycota; Eurotiomycetes; Eurotiales; Aspergillaceae.